UUUCUCCGCCGGCGACCGGCGCACGGGUGAGUAACACGUAUGCAACCUGCCCCUGUCAGGGGGACAACCCGCCGAAAGGCGGGCUAAACCCGCGUACAUGCCACCGGGGCAUCCCGGAGGCAGGAAAGGCUUCGGCCGGACAGGGAUGGGCAUGCGGCGCAUUAGGCAGUAGGCGGGGUAACGGCCCACCUAACCGACGAUGCGUAAGGGGUUCUGAGAGGAAGGUCCCCCACACUGGUACUGAGACACGGACCAGACUCCUACGGGAGGCAGCAG
This 276-nucleotide ribosomal RNA is filed under the name uncultured bacterium. RNAcentral's name for it is "partial 16S ribosomal RNA". It matches the Rfam family "Bacterial small subunit ribosomal RNA", at positions 80 to 354 of the family's 1533-position model. The record is from RNAcentral.